CGGUCUGAGGGACAGCGAACUGGCCCCCUGUGUAAAAAGUUUGGGGCCGCCUGGGGUAGAGUCCGGAUUCCUGCCAUCUUGCCCCGUCUCCUGCCAAAGGCCACCCUAGACCUGCACAGCCUCUCACCGUUUCUGAAGGUGUGACUAUACUCUCUGCUUUCUUUUCCUGGGCUUCUCUCUUGCUCCUUUUUAUCUCUGAGGACCAGGAACAUUUGCCUCCUCUUCCUGGAAGCCUUCCCGGAGCCUUCCCUGGGUCCCUGCUUCCUGCCCAUCACAGCCCUGGUCCCGCUGGAGUGACGCCGUCUGUCUGAGCCUCUGUCACUGCCAGGGGCGCCCAGAGGGUCAGGUUUGGGUCUGCCUUGGUUCGGUGUCCCCAGCGUGACCCACCACAGUGUGCAGCCCGAAGGGGGUCUCAGUGCCUGAAGCUGCAGCACGCAUGCCUCCAACAGGCCUGGGCUUGGAGAGCAUGCCCAGGAGGCGGGCAGCGGCUGGCACCCUCGCGCCCCCCGGGACACCUGCAGCAGUCUGGCCGCGUCUGCUGCUUGGCACUAAUGUCUCAUUAAUAAGUAGAUUUGGCACCCGCUUUUCCCCUUUCAUCCCCAACCCUCUGAACAUGUCCCCAACGUUAAUUAAUUCUCCCCACACCCAAAACGAGGCUGCUCUUCCCACAGCAGAUAAUGAUGUGUGAAGUCCUUUCGGUGAAGGUGUCGUGAUGAAUUCCACUGUGUAAUUAGAUCGUCUCUUCCCGCCUCCCAGACCGUUUCCAGUUCCCCUCUCUCCCCUGGCCCAACAGGUGGGCUCAAGGCCUUCAGCACAGAGCUCUGGCUUGUUACUGUCACGAAGCCACACCUGAGCUCGAUGCCUCAACAGCUCGGCGUGUCCUUGCAAAAUACAAUGAGGGAAGUUUUGCAGAGAUGGCAGAGGCAGAAGAGGAGCGGUGAUUGCUUGGUGUUGGCCUGGCUUUCCCAAUGACACUGAGAAUCCCUGAAUCAGAUGCAAGUUUCCAUGUCUUUGCAUCCUGGGGGACGAGCAGAGGACUUUGCAUCCAGUAGAUGGGGACGGCAUUUCCAUCCACUGGACACGCACACCAGGAAGCUGGUGUCCCCUUUGAAGGUCAUCUCUGCCUGGGUCCCUCGUCUAACACCAACCAUUCCAGAUCCUGCUGAUUCCUGCUGCGUUUUGUCCCACAGGCCUCCUUGGCUGACCCCACCCCCUGCCCUGUCCCCUACACACGGGAGAUCUGGCCAAACUGCAGUCUUCAUCCUGCCACCUCCCUGCCCAAGCUCUUCUCUGACUCCUGACUCCCACAGCCAGCCAGCCCUGGGCUGCCGGGUGUCACGUGACCGGUGGCCGCAGACACACCUGAGACCCUGGCUUCCCCCCGCCCCCCACAGGUUUCUUCAAGCUCCCAGGUCAUUACACGAGGUGCCUCUUCCCAAAUGGCAGCCCCCACCUCGGCCCAUUCACCUCCGGCCGAGGGAACCCUCAUCUGCUCUGCAGCCCCGGUCACAGCCGCCAUCCCAGAGUCCGGAGGUUUCCAGCCUGAGGUCCGGAGCCGCUGCCGUGUGCAAACCGCGGCUUCCCCGGCCCAGCCUCCUCAUCUGUAAAACGAGGGUGAGACUUGUUCUCAUCGCACCGGGCGGUCUUGCCGUGAGGACUCAAUGAGGUGUGGAAAGUGCUGAGGACGUGACAGGUAGAGAGCGCCACGCGAAUGCCCGGCUGUGAUUGUUGUUAGGGAGGCGCCUGCCUUCCCCGCCAACUUCUCAGAGAUAAGACUGGGGCUUCUUCACGGACGAAUCAUUUCAUUCAACGGACAUUUAUGGAGGCCCUUCCUCCGUGCAGGGCAGUGUCCUGCGUGCCGGGGACACGCCAGUGCUCAGACGUCCCCCACACUCAGCCUAGGCCCCAGGUGACAUAGAAGAGCAGUGACCAAAUGGUGGCAUCAGGAGUCUGCCCGAUGGAUGGAUGGGGGCAUGGAUGGGUAGAUGGGUGGAGGGACA
Long non-coding RNA from Saimiri boliviensis boliviensis (Bolivian squirrel monkey), 2000 nucleotides. RefSeq lists it as uncharacterized. The record is from RefSeq and is a predicted model, not a curated record. NCBI's taxonomy places the organism in Eukaryota, Metazoa, Chordata, Mammalia, Primates, Cebidae.